This 69-nucleotide transfer RNA is filed under the name marine eukaryotic metagenome. It matches the Rfam family "tRNA", at positions 5 to 66 of the family's 71-position model. From Rfam's summary of the family: Transfer RNA (tRNA) molecules are approximately 80 nucleotides in length. The record is from RNAcentral.
CGGGUGUAGCUCAGUCGGUUAGAGCGCUAGAUUGUGGAUCUAGAGGUCGUGGGUUCGAUCCCCAUCACU